This 241-nucleotide unclassified non-coding RNA is filed under the name plant metagenome. Its description in RNAcentral is "partial contains small subunit ribosomal RNA, internal transcribed spacer 1, and 5.8S ribosomal RNA". The record is from RNAcentral.
UUUCCGUAGGUGAACCUGCGGAAGGAUCAUUAAAGAGUAAGGGUCUUCGGGCCCGAUCUCCAACCCUUUGUUUAACUACCAUGUUGCUUUGGCGGGCCCGUCUCACGACCGCCGGAAGUUUGGCUUCGACCAAACUUCUGGCUCGUGCCCGUCAGUGGCCCCUUCAAAUUCUUGAUCAAGUAUGAUGUCUUAGUUAAAAACUUAAUAGUUAAAACUUUCAGCAACGGAUCUCUUGGUUCUG